RNAcentral lists this ribosomal RNA (468 nucleotides) under uncultured bacterium. RNAcentral's name for it is "partial 16S ribosomal RNA". It matches the Rfam family "Bacterial small subunit ribosomal RNA", at positions 28 to 507 of the family's 1533-position model. The record is from RNAcentral.
GACGAACGCUGGCGGCGUGCUUAACACAUGCAAGUCGAACAGAAAGGCCCUGCUUUUGUGGGGUGCUCGAGUGGUGAACGGGUGAGUAACACGUGAGUAACCUGCCCUUGACUUUGGGAUAACUUCAGGAAACUGGGGCUAAUACCGGAUAGGAGCUCCUGCUGCAUGGUGGGGGUUGGAAAGUUUCGGCGGUUGGGGAUGGACUCGCGGCUUAUCAGCUUGUUGGUGGGGUAGUGGCUUACCAAGGCUUUGACGGGUAGCCGGCCUGAGAGGGUGACCGGCCACAUUGGGACUGAGAUACGGCCCAGACUCCUACGGGAGGCAGCAGUGGGGAAUAUUGCACAAUGGGCGGAAGCCUGAUGCAGCAACGCCGCGUGCGGGAUGACGGCCUUCGGGUUGUAAACCGCUUUCGCCUGUGACGAAGCGUGAGUGACGGUAAUGGGUAAAGAAGCACCGGCUAACUACGUG